AUUGAACGCUGGCGGCAUGCCUUACACAUGCAAGUCGAACGGCAGCACGGGUGCUUGCACCUGGUGGCGAGUGGCGAACGGGUGAGUAAUACAUCGGAACAUGUCCUGUAGUGGGGGAUAGCCCGGCGAAAGCCGGAUUAAUACCGCAUACGAUCUACGGAUGAAAGCGGGGGACCUUCGGGCCUCGCGCUAUCGGGUUGGCCGAUGGCUGAUUAGCUAGUUGGUGGGGUAAAGGCCUACCAAGGCGACGAUCAGUAGCUGGUCUGAGAGGACGACCAGCCACACUGGGACUGAGACACGGCCCAGACUCCUACGGGAGGCAGCAGUGGGGAAUUUUGGACAAUGGGCGAAAGCCUGAUCCAGCAAUGCCGCGUGUGUGAAGAAGGCCUUCGGGUUGUAAAGCACUUUUGUCCGGAAAGAAAUCCUUGGCCAAAUACGGUCGGGGGAUGACGGUACCGGAAGAAUAAGCACCGGCUAACUACGUG
This 485-nucleotide ribosomal RNA is filed under the name uncultured bacterium. RNAcentral describes it as "partial 16S ribosomal RNA". It matches the Rfam family "Bacterial small subunit ribosomal RNA", at positions 30 to 507 of the family's 1533-position model. The record is from RNAcentral.